AAACCCACAACGCAUAGAUUAUGAAUUUGUUUCUGGUUUGUGAAACGGUUAUUGCUUUAAUCGUUUAAAUUUAAUUAUAUCAGAAGUUAUGUUACCAAUCGAUCCCUGGCUAAAGUGGUUUGUUUCCUAACUAGGAACGUCAGCCACCAGGGGGGUUCGAUGGUACCCGAUUGAGCAGAUAUUUGAUGGAGAAGGUAACUUGUGACGUGGAGAGAUGAUGUGGAAGAGGUGGAGGAGGGGGAGGAGUAACUAGAGAGUUUAGAGAUGAGGGGAGUUACGUGGCCGAGUUGUCGAUAGUUGUGAAUGUGGAGGACGAGGGGUGGAGAGGUAGAGGUGUUGAGAGACAUAGCCAGCGGGCAGGGGGUGGUAGUGGAUGGAGGAGGUUUAGUGGAAGGACGAGGGGUGUAGAGGUGUUGAGAGACAUAGGUGAUGACACCAGAGACAAGCAUUAGAGGUAAUUUAAAUUACCUCUCUUUUU
Molecule: long non-coding RNA, 478 nt
Organism: Arabidopsis lyrata subsp. lyrata
Lineage: Eukaryota; Viridiplantae; Streptophyta; Magnoliopsida; Brassicales; Brassicaceae
Exons: 2
Source: RefSeq, a predicted model, not a curated record